Molecule: ribosomal RNA, 253 nt
Filed under: uncultured bacterium
Lineage: Bacteria
Description: partial 16S ribosomal RNA
Rfam family: Bacterial small subunit ribosomal RNA
Source: RNAcentral
UACGUAGGGGGCAAGCGUUGUCCGGAUUUAUUGGGCGUAAAGAGCGUGUAGGCGGUCCGGCAAGUCCGCUGUGAAAGUCGGGGGCUCAACCCUCGAAUGCCGGUGGAUACUGUCGGGCUAGAGUGCGGAAGAGGCGAGUGGAAUUCCUAGUGUAGCGGUGAAAUGCGCAGAUAUCAGGAGGAACACCGAUUGCGAAGGCAGCUCGCUGGGACGUAACUGACGCUGAGACGCGAAAGCGUGGGGAGCAAACAGG